This 979-nucleotide ribosomal RNA is filed under the name Planctomycetota bacterium. Its description in RNAcentral is "bacterial LSU rRNA". It matches the Rfam family "Bacterial large subunit ribosomal RNA", at positions 1958 to 2925 of the family's 2925-position model. The record is from RNAcentral. Lineage: Bacteria; Pseudomonadati; Planctomycetota.
AGCGAAAUUCCUUGUCGGGUAAGUUCCGACCUGCACGAAUGGCGUAACGACUGCCCCGCUGUCUCAACCGGAGUCCCAGCGAAAUUGAAAUCGCUGUGAAGAUGCAGCGUACCCGCGGCUAGACGGAAAGACCCCGUGGACCUUUACUGCAGCUUGGCGUUGGAUCUAGGCAUGUCCUGCGCAGGAUAGGUGGGAGGCUGAGAAGCCGGGACGCCAGUUCCGGUGGAGCCGCCCUUGAGAUACCACCCUGGGCAUGCUUGGGUUCUAACCGCGGCCCGUGAUCCGGGUCCGGGACAGCGCCUGGCGGGCAGUUUGACUGGGGCGGUCGCCUCCUAAAGGGUAACGGAGGCGCGCGAAGGUACCCUCAGGCUGGUCGGAAAUCAGCCAUUGAGCGCAAGGGUAAAUGGGUGCCUGACUGCGAGGCCCACAAGCCGAGCAGGGACGAAAGUCGGCCCUAGUGAUCCGGCGGUCCCGUGUGGAAGGGCCGUCGCUCAACGGAUAAAAGGUACCCCGGGGAUAACAGGCUGAUCCCGCCCAAGAGCCCACAUCGACGGCGGGGUUUGGCACCUCGAUGUCGGCUCAUCGCAUCCUGGGGCUGGAGCAGGUCCCAAGGGUUCGGCUGUUCGCCGAUUAAAGCGGUACGUGAGCUGGGUUUAGAACGUCGUGAGACAGUUCGGUCCCUAUCUACCGCGGGCGUUGGAGGACUGAGGGGGGCUGUCCCUAGUACGAGAGGACCGGGACGGACGCACCUCUGGUGUCCCUGUUGUCCUGCCAAGGGCACCGCAGGGUAGCCACGUGCGGAACGGAUAACCGCUGAAGGCAUCUAAGCGGGAAACCGGCCCCAAGAUGAGUCCUCCCUGGAGCCUUGAGCUCCCUGAAGGGCCCUGGAAGAUGACCAGGUUGAUAGGCCGGAGGUGGAAGCGCGGCAACGCGUGGAGCUGACCGGUACUAAUCGCCCGUGAGGCUUGACCAUGCAACG